GUACUCUCACACUCUCUGAUCCUUUGGAUUUGGGGAGCGGUGGACUUGGGUGCUUGCUGCUUUCCUUGUGGCUCACCUGAAAUGCGUUAGUGCAUCUCUUGAUUGGACAUAGUACGGCGUGAUAAGUGUCUUCGCCGGCGCCUCGAUAAGAGGGUGGCCAAUUGGGAGCACUGUGCUCUCAAACCGUCUUCGGACACUGUCUGACA
Molecule: unclassified non-coding RNA, 206 nt
Filed under: uncultured Sebacinaceae
Lineage: Eukaryota; Fungi; Basidiomycota; Agaricomycetes; Sebacinales; Sebacinaceae
Description: sequence contains ITS2
Source: RNAcentral